GAUGAACGCUGGCGGCGUGCCUAAUACAUGCAAGUCGAGCGAACAGACGAGGAGCUUGCUCCUCUGACGUUAGCGGCGGACGGGUGAGUAACACGUGGAUAACCUACCUAUAAGACUGGGAUAACUUCGGGAAACCGGAGCUAAUACCGGAUAACAUGUUGAACCGCAUGGUUCAACAGUGAAAGACGGUUUUGCUGUCACUUAUAGAUGGAUCCGCGCCGCAUUAGCUAGUUGGUAAGGUAACGGCUUACCAAGGCAACGAUGCGUAGCCGACCUGAGAGGGUGAUCGGCCACACUGGAACUGAGACACGGUCCAGACUCCUACGGGAGGCAGCAGUAGGGAAUCUCCCGCAAUGGGCGAAAGCCUGACGGAGCAACGCCGCGUGAGUGAAGAAGGUCUUCGGAUCGUAAAACUCUGUUAUUAGGGAAGAACAAAUGUGUAAGUAACUAUGCACGUCUUGACGGUACCUAAGCAGAAAACCACGGCUAACUACGU
This 496-nucleotide ribosomal RNA is filed under the name uncultured bacterium. RNAcentral describes it as "partial 16S ribosomal RNA". It matches the Rfam family "Bacterial small subunit ribosomal RNA", at positions 28 to 506 of the family's 1533-position model. The record is from RNAcentral.